Molecule: RNA transcript, 6719 nt
Organism: Osmia lignaria (orchard mason bee)
Lineage: Eukaryota; Metazoa; Arthropoda; Insecta; Hymenoptera; Megachilidae
Gene: pot
Gene name: zona pellucida domain protein papillote
Source: RefSeq, a predicted model, not a curated record
UGUUAUAUACUAGAUUUUUUUCAAAAAUCUGAUUUUCAAAUAACUUUCAUUGAGUUUCGAAAGAUAUUUGACAAUGAGUGUUUACGAGUACACUCUGUUUUUCGAAGAAACCUACAGUAUGCUAGGGCGAUUAAGUAUUUGUUAUUUUGAUUCAGUAUAGUGGGAUUGAGCAAGAAUUAGAACGAUAAAUCUGUUGGAGGCUAUUAGCGUUAGAAAAGAAUUAUAGAUGUAGAUAAAGUUGAGAUUUAUUAAAUUAAUUUUAGCAUGAUUGUUGAUUACACGAUGCGCGGGGGUAGUGAACAUUCGUAAACGAGGAAAGACGGAUAACGAGCGAACUGGUUGUGGCUACGCUCGAGGAAUUUACUCACUGCUUACAGAAGCUUAUAUCUAGUUCAUUGCCAAGAAGGAAACCCUAAGCAUAUUAACCCCUUAAACCUGCUACUUCGUCGCCGAGGGUCGCUGUCGUGCGAGUUGCCUUGACGUUCGGUCAAAGACGUUCCUCCACCCUCACCUUUUAACUGAUCACUUCAAGUAGAACGCAUGUUCUUUCACGGAAUUACUCUCUACACGUACUUAAAGAGUUUCCUCGCGAUGGUGUAGCUAAAAGUAGUGAACUUACGCUUUGUAUUAACCAAUUACAUCUAUAAGGGAGGUAAGAGAUAAGAAUUUAUCUUUCGAAAACAUUUCGAAAAGAUUUGGAUAAGUUUACAUUUUGUUAGGUAUUGGAUAUUGAACAUUUUAUGUAAGGAUCCACGUUUGAGUGUUUUAUAGCCGUUUUAUUAACUUUUUAUUUAUAAUAAUAGGGGAGGAACGAUAAUAGAUACUGAAGUCAUCAUAAUGAAUUAUAGAGCACCGAAGCUAACAAUUAGUUCAAGUUUCAUAUUCGACCUGGUCCAUUAUCUCGCAUAAUAUUUCCAUUAAAAUAAGAUGGAUGAUGUCCAACUAUCUUCAGCAUAAUUAAAAUUAUCACUGCUAUUCAGAUAUGAUCGAAUGGUGGCUCUUGAUCUAACUAUAGACCGACAAUGACCCGAAUGCUACUUCUACUUUUUACUCCCUCAUUUCUCUCCAUACCCUUUUUUUUACUCGUUUCACGACAAGUUCCUCUGGCCUCUGGCCAAUUCUUAAUAAUCGCGAUAUAUCAUUGCACGCAAUAUCACAGGGUGUUUUUAAUUUCUUUUCUAGAUACUAUAUCGUUGACAUAAAUUAACAAUGUCUCGAGGACUCGUGUUAAAGAUUUCGCUUAUCUCCUUGAACCUGUUUCGUGUAAAUGAUGUUAAAGGGCUUGUAUGUUUAUGUUAACUUGUUUUAGCACCAACUGCUUUACAUUGUAAUAUGAUAUUGGGUAUAAGGAAACUGGUUUAUAAGUGGUAGGCGAUAAAAGAAGAGGAAAGAUUAUGGUUCAUUUAUACGCAACAGUGUCGUGUUCAGUUUACAAAAAAUAAAAAAAUAUAAAUAACCACCUCGACGUGAUGUUCAGGCUAUAAUUUAUAUGGGGGAAGAGGGUAAGGAGGGAAGCAGUCCCAGACAGGGAAUAGAUGUAAAAUGGUUACACGUGAAUGGACCUCUACAGUCAACUUUAAGAAUAAUUUCGGGGGUCCAUCUAUAGCGUCCUGAAAGCAGGGAAUUAUCGAGCAGUUACUGUACUUAGAAGAUCAUAUAAGUUAUGUGUUCAGCAUCGAGGCCAAGGGAUGCCUUUCAAGUUCGGCCAGUCUUCUAACGGCUUGCUUCCGUGCUCCACGUGUCUCUGUCACCGUGUCCAAAUCCUUCGUUUUCUGAUAACAGUGACACCUUUUUCUUUUUUUUGUUUUGUUAACGCGUUGACUGCCACAGUGAUGAUAAUUAGUAUAGUUAAACACAUUGUAAUUGCAGUUAUUCAAUGGUCUCAUUUAUCAUCUUCCUACCAUUUGAAAUUUUCUUUAACUUUGUCUUCUUCCAGUGAUUCGAUUAUACUGAAAUUGUGGGGUCAUCCGUGAUCCCUGCGGCAGUUAACGUGUUAAUAGUGAAAAAUGUUAUUUGUCUCUGGACCAUAUACGAAUUCGUGAAUCCUUGACAUUUCGUUGUGUAAAUGAUUACAAGAUUUUCAAUUAUCGCAAUGAUGACCGAGGGAUCGAAGAGAAGAAACCGUUUAACACAUGUGCUCCUCAGGAGGAAGAAAUGACGAGUCUGAGUCUUUCAAUAAUAAUUUAUUUUACAAAGUGGUAGAACACCAAGAUGUGCAUAAUGAUAUUAUUACUGCCUUUUCGACUGCAAAUGGUGUUUCCCAAUGGGAAUCGCGAAGAACGUGGUGAAGAGAAUGAUAGGGACUGUAAUGUCUUUCACGAAAUUAACAUAAAUUGCUAAAACAUUAUGCUUUCAAACAUAAUCUCACAUUGGGAGUCUGAAGGUGAUUAAACGAAGACGGAUAUUUUGGAAAAGAUUAAUUUUGAAAAUAUUAAGACCUUCGAUUAUUAAAUUUCUAUGAUUACAAAAAGAAAACCAAUCCUCAAACUAAACUUCAAUAUUCAGAGCCCAAAGUUGCAGUUAUUAUCCAUCGAGUUAAGAUCACUUCGAAAGUGAAAAUCCUGUACAAGCAGAUUCUUCAAGUUUCUUUGAUUCAAGUUAAAUCUACCGCAAAAACGGAUUUGUCUAACGAAGACGAAGGCGAUUGUCUUCUGGUCGAGGAAGAGGGUACGCGAACAAAGGCGGUUCGCCGUCCACGACGUACGAAAAUGCCUCUAAUGCUCAGGAUGAUCGACGUUUUCGGCUACCUGAGGUCACUGUUCAAGGUGCAAAAGAUCUCCGAGGACACCAUGAUAUUUCGUCUACAUUAUCGUGCGACAGUGGCUCUUUUAUUAGGGAGUUGCUUGACUUUGGCCUGCAAGAGUAUCUCCGGUUCGCCUAUACACUGCGAGGCUUCCGGUUCCGUGGAUAAGGUCGUUUUGGAGACGUUUUGUUGGUUGCAUACUACUUAUAGUAUGGUGCACGCGUUUAAUAUGACCCUUGGACAGGCGGUACCUUAUCCUGGUGUGUCGAACAGCAAAGGCGAGGGGAUGCAUGGCCAUACCUCGCAUCCUUUGGUUAAACAGCACAAGUAUUAUCAGUGGGUCAUCUUCUUUCUGCUGUUACAAGCGAUCCUCUUUUAUACGCCACGAUGGUUAUGGAAGGGGUGGGAAGGUGGCAAGAUCCAUGCGUUAAUGAUGGACCUCGACAUCGGCCUUUGUUCCGAGGUCGAGAAGAAACAGAAGAAGAAGAUGUUACUUGACUAUCUCUGGGAAAAUCUUCGCUAUCACAAUUGGUGGGCUUACAGGUAUUACCUCUGUGAAGUUCUCGCCCUGGUGAAUGUUGUCGGUCAGAUGUUUCUGAUGAACCGCUUCUUCGACGGUGCCUUUUUGACGUUUGGUAUCGACGUGCUCAGGUUCCUCGAAUCGGAUCAAGAGGACCGGGUCGAUCCAAUGAUUUACGUGUUCCCACGGAUGACCAAGUGCACCUUCUAUAAAUACGGCGUCAGCGGUGAAGUGGAGAGACACGACGCCGUUUGUAUACUGCCCCUGAACGUCGUCAACGAGAAGAUAUACGUAUUUCUAUGGUUCUGGUUCCUCUUUCUCGGCGUGCUCAGCUUCGUAACGGUUUUAUACAGGAUCGUAAUUAUAUUUUCGCCGCGAACGAGGGUUUAUCUUCUAAGGUUGCGGUUUCGUUUGGUCAGAAGAGAAGCCGUAGAGACGAUUGUUCGAAGGAGCAAAGUAGGCGAUUGGUUUCUUCUCUAUAUGCUCGGUGAGAAUUUGGACUCGGUGAUAUACAGAGACGUGAUGCACGAGUUAGCGAAUAAGCUCGCGUCCAGACACCAUCAUAGCGUGCCUGGAAUCAAGGGAGAGCUUCAAGAAGCCUGAUGGAAAUUGCCUCGGAGAGCCGUGGGAGCGAUUAGGAUUUUCGAGGCGAGUAGAAUACUUUUCGGCCAAAGAUGGAACGAACGAUGCCAAAGAUGGAGACCCAAGGAUGAAAUAGAACGGAUUACAUUUUUAUUUACAACUCGGCGUCUGUGUUUUUCUUAUCUAUUCGAUAAUUGACUGAUGUGUACACAGGGAUGAUCAUAGUUCGAUGAAGGUUGAUCAUUUCGCGUAAAAGACAAAUUGCCAUCUUACGACGAUCUUUUUUUUUUUAUUUUUCAAGUAUUCACCGUCGAGCUCGAGUUUCGCGAAGUGGACUCAAAAUUGCAUCCUUUUCUUUUAUGCAGUUCGAGUCUAAGGGACAUCAGUAUAGUUUUGUAACCGUUGUGAAAAUCGAUGACGAAAACGAAGAUACAUGUAUUCCCUUUGCUUUAAGCGUUCUACCUCGUUAAGUUUCGCUGAAAAUCGGAGUUUGACACUCCGCCAUUUUCUUAUAGACACACCGGUAGGGAUGCAACGAGGAUCGAUGUAUUUUCUUUCACAAAGACUGUGCGAGAAGGAGACUCGUGAGGAUAACUUUUACCAAUGACUCUUGAAAUAAAUGUAUUUUUAUUUAAAAGGUAAUUUAAUAAACAUAGUUUAUCAUACUAAUUGUGGAAAGAUAUUGUCGUCGAGAAAUUAGCGAGAAAUUUUCUGAGAUUCUCUAAGGGGUUGUUAGAAUUUUGUAAGACUAGUAUAAGAAGUAUUUCGCAGGGGUUAUAUUAAGACCUCUGUAACAAAAACUUGAAAAUAUAAAAAUAAAAUCAGUGGGUUUUGCAGCAAUCUUCUUCAGGAUAAUUUCAACGAAGCACCACCGUUACUGCAAUUUCGACAAACGGUGCAGGUUCCUCGGGUACAAUUGGCAGUUUCGUGAGAAGAGGAUCAGGAUGACGAUGGGGUACGGGUCACCAUAUUCGGAAGUGCGAGGACCAACCGGUCCGUUGGUCCUGUUCGACAGUCACGAAACAACGGGUUUGAAAAGGAGACAGAGGUGAACGCGUUCCUUCUUUGUAAUCUGAUCGAGAACACUGGCAUUUAAAGGACCCUUUACAUCCUUUCACUGUCCACGCCGUUGGUCCAAUCACUGCCCCGUAUCAAUUCCGUUCUAGUAUCUAUUAUUUUUCUAUUAAGUUCCUGUUAUGAUAGUUUCAUCCAAAUAGAUUUUUCGUUUAUUUUUAUCUUUCUAUAGAUGCUGGAACGUUAAGCAUGUCGAUUGACACUGGUAAUUAUUAAGGGAAGACCCAACCACUAAAUUUUUCUUAAAUUCUUCUAGAAUCAAAAGCAAAUGGUGGUGGGAGGCUCCCUCUUCUAACCUUACCCUUAACUAAAGGAAGGUUAGGUUACAUUGUCCCCAAGUGUAUUCCCUAAUAGUGAAGAGUAGGGGUUAACAUGCCAAAUAGUGCAUUGUGGUAGCGGCUUAAGGCGGUAUAACAUACAGUCCUGGUAUAUUUGACUUCUAAAGAAAGAACCAACAGCAAAGGAAUAUGUUAAAAAUGUUACUCUUCUUUUUUUGCUGUUGGAUUCCUUUAUUCAGAAUCAUCUGUAAACAGCACGGUUAAAUUAUCGACAUUUCAUAAUUGUUUUCUUUGAAUGAAAAGAAAGAAAGAAAGUUAGAAGAGAUGAAAAGAGACGGAAAGUUUGGGUGUGGGUGUCCAAGGUCUUCAGCUUGCCAUUUACGGCCGUGUAUGAAACCGGACACAGUAAACUGCGACAAUGAGCGAGAAGGAGGUAAAGUUGAAAAGAAACGUAAAGGCAAAGCGUGUUUUGGUCUUAUCGCGAGCUGGCAAGAUGGCUUAAAUCUACAUCUCGAAGGAGUUUGACUCUGUUCGCUCGCCAUUCAUUCCAGGGAAUUCUUAUUUCACACUUGCUGUUAACGAAUUGAAUGUAACAAUUCUGCAAACGUCUUUGCGGGGUGACAUUCUUCGUACUUUCUUGAAAAUUAAAUGUCAUAUGUAGAAAAUAAAAUAUUCCACUUUCGCUGGUUAUUACGUAAAGAAUUGCCUGAUGUACGGUUAUGUCAUAACUGCUGAUAUGUCUUGUGCCGUAUUAACAAUUUAUGUUUCAGCUGAUCCGUCCGAUGAAACUUCAUAGUUUCACCUGUAAUUUUGAUUACCAAUUAAUUUAUCAGUUGGCCGAGUUAAUUCGACCCAGACCUGCUUUGGUAAAUAUUCAUCAUUUAUUGAAGAGUGCAUCUUCACCCGUAGGACCAUUCAUUACUUUGUUACCCAAUCAUCACCCAAAAUCUCAAAUUCCUUUGAAUUUUGAACUUGCUAAAAUUCUCUUAUUAAUAAACGAAGGAAUAUCGUAGGAUAAAUUUGACAGCUUCACAGAAGCCGAAGACAUCAUGUAGAGUAUCUGGCUGGAGGUUGCAGAGUACAGGGCGACAUAAGGCCACGCAUUCGCAGGCGUAAAUAGGUGGGUGGAUUGGGUAGGCAGGAAGGAUAGCCGUAAGAACGCGAGAGUGGCGUGUACACAUGCGAGGCCGUGUACACCGUAGAAAAGAGAGGGAAGCAAACCGCUCGGUUUGUUAAGAGGUCUCUCCUGUCGCAGGUAAAACGUCGUCUCUGGAAAGUGAGUUCAGUCGCGGCCGCGCGAUCGCGUCGAACGAUAUUUGUUUGCGCGUGCAGCUUGUUCACUUCUAGGAGCGUUACCGUUUGGCUCCGGGAAACAUCGGUGUGCCUUGAAACAGCAUCCUCGCACGUUGCCAGCGAGCGUACCAACCAGACAAGAUCGGCGGCAUGCGAUCAUCGUAGCGAGCGUCCAGGGACAAGGGGAAGAGAUUUCAAUCGUUUGAGCGGCAUAAGCGAUAAACGUGAG